This 510-nucleotide ribosomal RNA is filed under the name uncultured bacterium. RNAcentral describes it as "partial 16S ribosomal RNA". It matches the Rfam family "Bacterial small subunit ribosomal RNA", at positions 28 to 507 of the family's 1533-position model. The record is from RNAcentral.
GACGAACGCUGGCGGCGUGCUUAACACAUGCAAGUCGAACGAAGAGCGAUGGAAGCUUGCUUCUAUCAAUCUUAGUGGCGAACGGGUGAGUAACGCGUAAUCAACCUGCCCUUCAGAGGGGGACAACAGUUGGAAACGACUGCUAAUACCGCAUACGAUCUAAUCUUGGCAUCGAGGAUAGAUGAAAGGUGGCCUCUACAUGUAAGCUAUCACUGAAGGAGGGGAUUGCGUCUGAUUAGCUAGUUGGAGGGGUAACGGCCCACCAAGGCGAUGAUCAGUAGCCGGUCUGAGAGGAUGAACGGCCACAUUGGGACUGAGACACGGCCCAGACUCCUACGGGAGGCAGCAGUGGGGAAUCUUCCGCAAUGGACGAAAGUCUGACGGAGCAACGCCGCGUGAGCGAUGACGGCCUUCGGGUUGUAAAGCUCUGUUAAUCGGGACGAAAGGCCUUCUUGCGAAUAGUGAGAAGGAUUGACGGUACCGGAAGAGAAAGCCACGGCUAACUACGUG